This 501-nucleotide ribosomal RNA is filed under the name uncultured bacterium. RNAcentral's name for it is "partial 16S ribosomal RNA". It matches the Rfam family "Bacterial small subunit ribosomal RNA", at positions 30 to 523 of the family's 1533-position model. The record is from RNAcentral.
AUUGAACGCUGGCGGCAGGCUUAACACAUGCAAGUCGAGCGGAGAGAGGUAGCUUGCUACUGAUCUUAGCGGCGGACGGGUGAGUAAUGCUUAGGAAUCUGCCUAUUAGUGGGGGACAACAUUUCGAAAGGAAUGCUGAUACCGCAUACGUCCUACGGGAGAAAGCAGGGGAUCUUCGGACCUUGCGCUAAUAGAUGAGCCUAAGUCGGAUUAGCUAGUUGGUGGGGUAAAGGCCUACCAAGGCGACGAUCUGUAGCGGGUCUGGGAGGAUGAUCCGCCACACUGGGACUGAGACACGGCCCAGACUCCUACGGGAGGGAGCAGUGGGGAAUAUUGGACAAUGGGCGGAAGCCUGAUCCAGCCAUGCCACGUGUGUGAAGAAGGCCUUAUGGUUGUAAAGCACUUUAAGCGAGGAGGAGGCUACUUUAGUUAAUACCUAGAGAUAGUGGACGUUACUCGCAGAAUAAGCACCGGCUAACUCUGUGCCAGCAGCCGCAGUAA